UACAGAGGUCCCAAGCGUUGUUCGGAUUCACUGGGCGUAAAGGGUGCGUAGGCGGUCGGGUAAGUCUGAUGUGAAACCUCACAGCUUAACUGUGAAACUGCAUUGGAUACUAUCCGGCUCGAGGAAUGGAGGGGAGACUGGAAUACUUGGUGUAGCAGUGAAAUGCGUAGAUAUCAAGUGGAACACCAGUGGCGAAGGCGAGUCUCUGGACAUUUCCUGACGCUGAGGCACGAAAGCCAGGGGAGCAAACGGG
RNAcentral lists this ribosomal RNA (253 nucleotides) under uncultured bacterium. RNAcentral's name for it is "partial 16S ribosomal RNA". It matches the Rfam family "Bacterial small subunit ribosomal RNA", at positions 524 to 776 of the family's 1533-position model. The record is from RNAcentral.